This 6581-nucleotide unclassified non-coding RNA is filed under the name Schistocerca americana (American grasshopper). RNAcentral describes it as "yLP motif-containing protein 1-like, transcript variant X3". The record is from RNAcentral. Lineage: Eukaryota; Metazoa; Arthropoda; Insecta; Orthoptera; Acrididae.
AUUGAAGGGAAAAUGGCGGAUAGCGUUACAUGGACCGUGAAUAUGUGUUUAAUGUUUCAAAAAAAAUAGCUACUUGUAUCAAUAACAGGUAACACCAGACUGACAGUUGCGAAGUGUUUCUGUGGUUAGGAGGCACUUGUGAUCCAGAGAAUCUGCAUUUAGUAGGAAAGUUGCAGCAGAAGAUCGGACUUGGGGCCAGCCUGUAAGAUCGACUUCUAAUAAGGAGCAACACCGGCAUUUGUCAGGAGGCAUGCAGGCUUGGAAUCAGUGGAGCACUGCCGCCGCCGGAUAUGCUGCUGCCGCCGCUGCCCAGGCAUACCCCGCAACUGCAGCGGCUGCAGCCCCCACUGCGGCGGCCACAGCUUCUCCGUACACCAUGCAGUACGGUUACUAUGCUGCCACUCCCACAGCUGCGACCCCUGCCAUUGCCUCGGCAGCUGCAACUGCGACAGAUGUUGCAGCAAACUAUACUGCCUCCCAGCAGUGGAAUGUGAAUCUUGUACAGCAACAAUGGCAGCAGUGGCAGCAAUGGCAACAGCAGUUUCAACAGUGGCAGCAACAGUUUGGAGACAAGUAUCACGAAUCGAUGGCAGCCAUGGGAACAACGCCAGUUCCUGCUGCAACAGUAACUCCAGCUGCGCCACCGACAAUGCCACCGCCGGAAGUGGCUGCGCCGCCGCCUCUGCCGCCCCCAGAUACUAAGCCUCCAGUUGCACCAGCUCCACCCCCACCACCUGAGGAAACUGCAGACACUACUGCUACGACCACUGCUUCGAUUACAGAUCCGUACAGGACUGCUGCGCCGAAGCCUCCAGAUGCACCUCCUCCCACUCCUGUUACAGUGCCUCCACCACCAAUGACUGAUCCGUACGGUGCUGCUGUGACGGCAGGUUACAGUACUGCGUCCAGCUAUGGGACCCCAUACGCGAUGCCGCCUCCCACCCAACUGCCACCUAUGCAACAGCCGCCUCCUGUCCAACAGCCACCUCCUGUCCAACAGCCUCCACAUGUGCAACAGCCCCCUCCCGUACAGCAGCCCCCACCUCCCGUCACCGCCGCUCCCCCUCCUUCUGUACCACCGAUGACUGGCGGCUGGGGAGACACAACUGCUAUGGGAGGAUAUGGCGUGGGCAGCAAAAGACCAUAUGAUGCGACUGGGGAGCCACCCCCACAGUUUUCCCACCCACCACCCAAUGUUGGUGGCGGUGACAACAAGAAGAUGCGUCCUGGAGAUUACCAGUAUGGAGGUGAACGUGACAGAGGAGGUGGAGGUAGAUGGGGACAAGAUGACAACUCUUCUCAUAAGACUGAGCCAGACCAACGUGCUGUUAAGGAUAACCCAGAUGAGUUAUCGGAAGCAGAAAAGGCCUUUGAUAUACAGUUUAAGCAGUGGGAAGAGCAGUUCAACAAAUGGAAGGAGCAAAAUAUCAACCAUCCAGAUAAGGUACAGUACAGAGAGUAUGAAGCAAAAUGGGAGAAUUGGCGAGCACAGCUGCUUCACAGGAGAGAGCAAAUGCGCCGUAAGCGAGAAAAUUCUAAUAAAACUGUGGAUCCAAACCGAGCUGGUCGUGGAAAGCCUAACCGUGACCGCAACAGUGUGAGUAGUGGUCCUCCUGUGGGAGGAUACUUCACUACUCCUCCACAGGGGGAUCAACAGCAACAUCAAGAACAGCAACAAGACCAAAAGCAGCAACAAGAUGACCAACAGCAAACACAGCUGAAUGCUGACAGUGACUACCGCCAGACACCUGCCAAACAAGAGGGGGGUGGGGUAACUGACACAGAGCAGAAGACAGAACCAGAUGACGGCAGUGGCAUUCAGGCAUCUGCAGAGACAGACCAAUCUCAGACAGGUCAGGAUGGCACAGAAGGGAGGGACGUAAAAGAAGAAACAGCGGAGAAACCCUCUAAAUCUAGCCCUGUGAAAGAUGGCGUGAUCCCAGGCUUGGAUCUAUUAACAAAUGAUGGGGAGAAGAAAGAAUCUGCAGACGGACAUGGGGCCACUGAAGAAACCGAAAAUAGUGCCAAAGACACAGACGAUCGUGCAGACCACUUGACAUCUGCGUCAGGCCAAGACUCCACUUUUUUGAAUCAGAAUGCUGGUGGACAAAACUCCACUGGGGCCCAGGGAUCAUCAUUUAUUGACCAGAGUUCACUGCAGCCUAACAAACAAGAGGAGGAUAGUGGAAAUCAUGAAUUGGACAGUUCUUCCGAAUUGCAGACAACUAAACAGUAUGGCAAUAGAGAAGCUCCCACUGGGCAGAGCAUGGGCCAGGCUAGUGGAAACACACAGUUCACAAAUCAGCCUCCUCCACUUUUUGGAAGCCAGCCACUGGGAGGUUCUGACAAUAGGGGCCCACCACCUCCCUUUGGCAAGGGUGGAUUUGCAAAUCCCCCACCAGGUGUACCCCCUCAGUUCGGCGGAGCAAAUCAGCUACCACCCAGUCAACAGUAUGGGAACCAAAAUUUCCAGCCAGGACCUGGCAAUCAAUUUGGAGGUCCACAGUCUGGACCAGGAGGUCCCAACAGAGGUCCUCCACCAUUUGGAGGAGGUAAUUUUGGACAGCCUCCUCCAAAUGCCCAGGGAUUCGGCAACCAGGGACCACCAAACUUCGGUAGGGGCGGUCCCGGAGGUCCACAAGGUUUUGGAGGGCCGAGAGGACCACCGAAUUUCGGAAACAAUCCGCCAGGUGGUCUGGGUGGAUUUGGCAAUCAGGGACCGCCAGGAGGACCCGGUGGGUUUGGAAAUCAGGGAAGAGGCCGUGAUGGACCACCGUUCGGAAGUGGAGGCCCUAGAUUUGGAAGCGGUCAGAGUUUUCCUCAGGGAGGGCCGAAACCUUGGGCUUCUGAUGACUGGCAAAAGCCCCCGAUCAAAGAGGGAGGUGGUCUCCUGGGAAAUUAUCCUGCCGAGAAAGAUAAUACUGACAGGGAACGCCCUCCAGGAUACCCUCCGCCUCUGCUAGGUCCUCGCGAACUUCGUCGCGACCAAGACUUUGGCGGCUUUCGCGGAGGCAGAGGGGGACCUAUGGGUCGAGGUGGGGGGCGUGGGGGUUGGCAACACAGGGGAGGUCGAGGAAGGUUUGGGCCGGGGCCAGGGCCACCAGAAGAUGGACGUGGCGGCAAUGACCAGGAUGAAGACCUCUAUACAGACCCAUUUGCUGACUCUCCAGAUGAAAUUGGGGCGUCAUCACAGGGGGGUGACGGCGAAUGGUGCCACGGUGAUGAACCACCCCCUGAGCCACGUGGCUUGUGGCAGCGGGGACCCAGGUUCAAUUCUCCCUCUCCGUGGGGUGCAGAUGGGACUGAAUACAGCGAGUGGUCAGAUGGUCCCGACAGGUAUGCUUCCGAGAGAGACACUUACGCUCCUCGAGGCCCCCCUGGACGUGGAGGUGGGUGGGCACCUGAUGCCACCCAACCCCAUGGACGUGCAGGUGGGUGGGCACCGGAUGCCCCACACCCCGCUGGACGUGCGAGCGGGUGGGCUCCUGACACUCCCCAACCCCCAGGACGUGCAGGGGGUUGGGCAUCUGAGGUCCCUGCCAUUGACCACCUGGAGCCGGCCACAGUCGUCGACUACGGCCACCGUCCUGCGACCGGGCCCCCAAGCAAAGAUGCUGCGGGUACGAAGCCUACCCAGUUUUCUGAGCCGGUGCAGACAUUUGACUACGGCCACGGCUCGAGAAGAUCUGGCUCUGCUCCUACACCUGGUCCUGCUCCUGUCACUGCUGCUCCUCCAGAUGGCUGGCGACGCAGUGACGAACCGACAUUCCGUGCCAACAGAGCUGAUCAAGAUAACAGGUUCUUUGGUAACAGAACUGAUCGUGAUAACAGAUUUCCUAGUGGCAUAGGUGAUCAGGCCAAUCUGUUCCCAAGUGGCCGAACUGAAAAAGAUAACUGGUUUCCCAGCGGUCGAGGCGAUCAGGACAACAGGUUUCCUGGCAGCCGUGGUGACCAGGACUCCAGGUUUCCUGGCAACCGAGGCGACCAGGACAGUAGGUUUCCCGGCAGUCGAGGUGACCAGGAUAUUAGGUUUCCCAGUGGUCGAGGUGACCAGGACAGUAGGUUUCCUAGUAGUCGAGGCGACCAGGAUGGUAGGUUUCCUAGCAGCCGAGGUGACCAGGAUAAUCGGUUUCUUGCAGGCAGAACAGAAGAAGAGAGCAGAUUUUUUGGGAGCAGAGAGAGGGAAUGGCAUGGUUCCGACCGGGACCGCGAGAGCAGAGACCGGGAACGUGACAGGGAGAGAGACAGAGAGAGGGACAGGGACAGGGACAGGGAGAGAGACAGGGACAGGGAACGUGAGAGGGAGAGGGACAGGCUAAGCCGCGACAGAGAGCGUGACAGGGACAGAGAGCGCGACAGGGAUCGGGACCGCGAGCGGGAUAGGGACAGAGACAGAGACAGGGAUAGGGACAGAGAGAGGGAUAGAGACAGGGACAGGGACUGGGAGAGGGAGAGGGACCGGGACAGGGAUCGAGACCGGGACAGAGAGAGGGACCGUGGCAGAGACCGGGACCGGGACCGCGACAGGGACGAUUACGCAAAGCGUGAUCGGGAUAUGCGGUGGGAGCGCGAUAGGCCACCACGAGAUGCCGAUGACAGGAGCAAAGACGACAGAGUAAAAGAGAGAAUGUCACGGUGGGAAGAAUCUGAAAGAAACAGAUUCAGUAAUAGCAGUGAUCGUUGGGGACCAAAGGGAGGCAGUCGUGGAUAUGACAGUCGAGACAGAAUGCCACUGAACUCUUUCGACAAUGACAGCCAGGCCCAGAAUGCCCUUGCAGAUGCGGCGCCCCCUCCUCCGCCGCCCCCUCCCAUCAGCAACAACUCAGCAAUUGGCGACGGCAUCCCAGCCACUAUGGAUGGACCCCCGCCGCCUCCCUCACUUGCUCCUUCGACUCAGGAACCAGUCGUACGUUCUGUCAUGGUGGAAGACUUGCUGCAGAGUCCUGGGAGACUGCAACGCCCCACGAGGAUCGUCAUCAUACUUCGAGGUCCUCCCGGGUCUGGGAAGACAUUUGUCGCAAAACUCAUCAAGGAUAAAGAAGUUGAAAUGGGUGGUUCAGCUCCUAGAAUUCUCUGCCUUGAUGAUUACUUUAUGGUCGAAUCUGAGAAAGAAGAUAAAGAUCCAGAAACAGGGCGGAAGAUUAUUACCAAGGUGAUGGUGUACGAGUAUGAAGCAGGCAUGGAUAAGCAUUACCAUGGUUCAUUAUUGAAAGCAUUCAAGAAAACAGUGAAUGAUGGAUACUUUCCCUUUAUAAUUGUUGACUGCAUCAAUGAUAAAGUAAAGCAAUUUGAAGAAAUGUGGAGCUAUGCAAAGCAGAAGGGUUUUCAGGUAUACAUCUGUGAAAUGGAUAUGGACGCUUCAGUGUGCUCGAAGAGGAACAUCCACAAUCGUUCAGAGAAAGACAUCAGUGAGAUCAUCGAAAACUGGGAGCCUACUCCGAAACACUACCUCCGCCUUGAUGUUCGCUCAUUGCUACAAUCGGUCGCUAUCACAGAGGUGGAAAUGGAGGAUACUGCAGCUGAUGUGGAAAAGGACGACUCAAAAGCUGUAACUGAAACACAAGACAGUAUAUCUGACAAGGAACCAGAGGGAGAUGAAACUGAGAAGGAUGGUGAUGAGGAGUUGGAGAACAGCACUACGUACACGAGCAAGUGGGAGCGCAUGGAGCCUUCUGGUGAUAAACUGAAUCGGCUUGACGGGCUUGGGAGGAUGCAGAGGGCGAGCCACUCCGACUCAAAGCCGCGCUCCCUGGAAGACUGGCUUCAGUUAAGUGACGAGUAUGUGCAGCGAGAAGCUACACCGGGAAAGAAGCGGGUCACGCCAGCAGCUCAGUGGAACUCACUGUCAUCCUCAGACGUCGGCAGAGAAACAGUACUGUUCCCGGUCCUCCACGCCCUUAUGCACAGUGCGCUGCUCACCACAGUGACCUAGUAUGUUAUCUUGCAAGAAUGAAGCGACCAGCUAGUCCAAAUGCUAGAGCUACCACUGCUCCUACUCCACAUUGGAGAUGUAUGAGGGAAGUCUUUGGCGAUUUGGAUGAUGGAUUCACUAUACUGUACACAAAUGACUUGAUAAAGAUGACAUAAACAGUUUUGCAGUCAACACAGUAUUGUUGCAGAUUAUAAUGAUGAUGACUGUUAUACUUCAUCGAUAACUUCAUGCCUGAGCAGGCUGAGCAUUUGGGGAUUUGAAGACAUAUAGCAGCUUUGCAUACUGCAUUAUCCAAAUGGAUUGCAUUGUACAUGAUAAUGUGGAAUCACUUUCGGCAACAAAGUCUAAUGAUGAGGAUCAGCUGUGUCUGACAGUAACUUCACACCGCAGCAUGCUGAGAGUUUGUGGAUUAUGAGACAUGUGCAGCUUCACCUGAUGAAAUAUCCAAAGUAAUAGAUGAGUGUCUUGUACACAAAGAUGCAGCAUCACCAUCAGCAAAGAUAUGUGUGUUGUUGCAGAUGACUGUGUCAGUACUGAGGUUGAAAUCAUCAACAUAUUGUCAAGUAAUGAGGAUGAGGAUAUUGUUUUAUCAUCAGAUGAUGAAGGCAAUGAUGUAAUUAAUUAAAUAAAUAAUAAUGUUAAACAUUGA